RNAcentral lists this ribosomal RNA (622 nucleotides) under Lactarius sp. GAL17144. Its description in RNAcentral is "LSU rRNA". It matches the Rfam family "Eukaryotic large subunit ribosomal RNA", at positions 47 to 645 of the family's 3401-position model. Lineage: Eukaryota; Fungi; Basidiomycota; Agaricomycetes; Russulales; Russulaceae. The record is from RNAcentral.
UAAGCGGAGGAAAAGAAACUAACAAGGAUUCCCCUAGUAACUGCGAGUGNAGCGGGAAAAGCUCAAAUUUAAAAUCUGGCGGUCUCUGGCCGUCCGAGUUGUAAUUUAGAGAAGCGUCUUCCGCGCCGGACCGUGCACAAGUCUCCUGGAAUGGAGCGUCAUAGAGGGUGAGAAUCCCGUCUUUGGCACGGAUGCCUGUGCUUCUGCGAUGCGCUCUCGAAGAGUCGAGUUGUUUGGGAAUGCAGCUCAAAAUGGGUGGUGAACUCCAUCUAAAGCUAAAUAUUGGCGAGAGACCGAUAGCGAACAAGUACCGUGAGGGAAAGAUGAAAAGCACUUUGGAAAGAGAGUGAAACAGUACGUGAAAUUGUUGAAAGGGAAACGCUUGAAGUCAGUCGCGUCGACCGAGACUCAGCCUUGCCUUGGCUUGGUGUACUUCUCGGCCCGACGGGUCAGCAUCAAUUUUGCCCCUCGGAUAAUGGCAAGGGAAAGGUGGCACCUUUNCGGGUGUGUUAUAGUCUCCUGUCGCAUGCGAGGGGUGGGAUUGAGGAACUCAGCGCGCACCUUGGUGUCGGGGCUUCGGCCCACGUCACGCGCUUAGGAUGCUGGCGUAAUGGCUUUAAAC